Girardinichthys multiradiatus is the source of this 1781-nucleotide long non-coding RNA. RefSeq lists it as uncharacterized. The record is from RefSeq and is a predicted model, not a curated record. The transcript is spliced from 2 exons. Lineage: Eukaryota; Metazoa; Chordata; Actinopteri; Cyprinodontiformes; Goodeidae.
GCUUGGUCAUUAUAAAUUCUGAAGAUGAUGGAUGAACCAGUGAGAAUCAGAGGUGGAGGGAGGAAGCGAGACAUGACGGUGUGUCUCUGGACAUCACUUUUCUCACAUCAGUCGCUGAUUAAACCCAUCCACUGACUUCCUGGGAUUCUUCACAUCACUGGCAGAACUUUUCAGGGUCAAAAAAAGUAUUUUUUUUCUCCACACUUUCUGUUGCCGCAACCUUCACUGAUUUUGGGGGAUUUGCUUAUUUGGGGUCAUGGGGAGAACUGGCUUGGGUGUGUGGAAACCAACUUGCUGCCAAAUGGGUCUGAGCAGUAGUCAUUACAAAGGUGCAUGCUUGCACGAUGCCAUCAGUGCUGGUCUGAGUUAUAAAAAGGAGAAAAUCCUUCACUGUGAAACAAGUUUUGUCCAAAAAGGGUUAUAUUUUCUGAAUGCUCCUUUUUAAGGGAAGUCUGGCUGAGAUGUACCUUCUAAUGAAGUGAUGGCAGACCCAGAACAGGGUUACAAGGGGAUGACCUUUUAAUCCGUAGACGUUUUUUGUUUGGUUUGUUUUUAGUUUCUCCUAACAGAAUCUUGUAGAGCCUUCUGAAUAGAUCAGAAGCUAUGAUCUGUCGGAUACAUGUGAGCUGUGUCUGUCAGUGAAUAUUUGCACAAAACUAGCGAAACCUUUAAAAUUGCUAAAGUGGAUCUGCAAAGGGACUAUGAAUAACUCCACAUUUAAUGUGUGAUUUCAUUGUUUUAACAAUCCACAAUGUCGUCUUUGUGUGACUAUGUUAAGAAAAGCCUUUCUUGCAGGAUCUGCAGAUGUUGAUGCAAUCGUGUAACUUUAGUGAAAUGCAUGUAAGUGUACAAACAUUCGUCGCAAUCUUCACAAGUCUUGUUCUUAUUGAUGAAUGAAUGUAACACUUUAUUUUGUAAUGAUUUAAUAAAGCUGUGAAUAUUUUAAGAGAUUUUAAGCGGAUGUUUGAUAAUGUUUCGUCUAAAGUGUGCUGGUGGAGUCUCGAGGCUGGCACAUUGAGCUGCAGCGUGACAUUAUUUCCUGCAUCUGAGAAUCUGUGGCGUCAUCUGCACGCAACAGGAUGUGGUCGGCCCGAUGCACGUGUUAUGUCUCUUAAGGCGUGGAGUUUUACCGUGUGUGCAUGACUGCUUGAGGCUGAUGUGAUGCCCUGUGACAGUCUGAGUUCUCGUUGGGUGCCACGUGACCCCCUAACCCUCUGCCCACGCCACAAGCCCCUCCCUAUCGCUCUCUAUCUUGCAUGUCACUGGGUGAAAAUCUCAAUUUGGCAUCUACGUGAUGCUAGCAUGAGGACACAAGACCAAAUGAAGAGCAACCAUUGGUUGACCGUUCAUGCGUCACAAUAUUUGACCUGGUUCUGUGUCGGAGAGACAAAAGGAUGCAGAUAAGGUCAUUGGUUGGGAGUGUGGGUGGGAUUAGCAUGCAUUUCGAUUUUUAAAAUUCGGGUUUUCAUUUAUAUUUCUUAAAUUUGCAAAACAUAACGACGCGCUCAAGGUGAGAGGUUUUUGUAAAUUUUUGGAAGGACAGAAGAUUUGAAUAAAUAAAUUUAACCCUUCAAAAGACUGAAGUUACCAAGCUUAUUUUCAAACAUUUACUGACCCAAGCUCCUUGACGAACAUUAUUAACUGGGGCAUCAAUAGGAGAGUUCUUGUUUCUCUACCUUGUGUGCGGGCUGUUUUAUGUGGAUAAUGAAUGCAAAGCUUAUGAAGCACUGAAUUUCAUUCGUUGCUGAUUUGAAAUAAAGACUUCGUCAUUCACCCAUCUA